Molecule: ribosomal RNA, 433 nt
Filed under: uncultured bacterium
Lineage: Bacteria
Description: partial 16S ribosomal RNA
Rfam family: Bacterial small subunit ribosomal RNA
Source: RNAcentral
AACGAACGCUGGCGGCAUGCCUAACACAUGCAAGUCGAACGAGACCUUCGGGACUAGUGGUGCACGGGUGCGUAACGCGUGGGAACCUGCCCUUAGGGUCGGAAUAACUCCCCGAAAGGGGUGCUAAUACCGGAUAAUGUCUUCGGACCAAAGAUUUAUCGCCUUUGGAUGGGCCCGCGUUGGAUUAGCUAGUUGGUAUGGUAAAAGCAUACCAAGGCGCCGAUCCAUAGCUGGUCUGAGAGGAUGAUCAGCCACACUGAGACUGAGACACGGCCCAGACUCCUACGGGAGGCAGCAGUGGGGAAUAUUGGACAAUGGGCGAAAGCCUGAUCCAGCAAUGACGCGUGAGUGAUGAAGGCCUUAGGGUUGUAAAGCUCUUUUAACCGGGAUGAUAAUGACAGUACCGGGAGAAUAAGCUCCGGCUAACUCCGUG